AGGAUUUCAGGUCGCGGUGAAUAAUAGGCACAACAGCCUCCUCGUGUAGGUAGUGCAUGCCCCUGGCGAUUUGAACAGCCCAGUUGACAAGAAUGUGUGGGGGUAUCCUCCGACCAGUCAAAGCCCGGUGAUCUCCUGUCCACUUCCUCCAACUCGGAGUACCAGGACGAGCUGGCGGGCCCACACACAGACUGCCCCUUCCAGCGCUGCAUCAUCCCUGCACACAGGCUCCAGCCUCGGAGAACGCACCCCGAAAUCUUUCAGGAGGAGGACUCGAUCGGUGAGUCGUCAGAGACCUCCACACAGGAAAAGCCCUCUCCUAAGCUGUACUACAAGCUUAAGCUUUUUCCUGGGAAGUGGGUGAACAUCUUGUAUGACCGGCUGACCUUGUUG
Long non-coding RNA from Oncorhynchus gorbuscha (pink salmon), 393 nucleotides. RefSeq lists it as uncharacterized. The record is from RefSeq and is a predicted model, not a curated record. The transcript is spliced from 3 exons. NCBI's taxonomy places the organism in Eukaryota, Metazoa, Chordata, Actinopteri, Salmoniformes, Salmonidae.